UACGUAGGGAGCAAGCGUUGUUCGGAUUUACUGGGCGUAAAGGGCGCGUAGGCGGCAAUUCAAGUCAUCUGUGAAAUCUCCGGGCUUAACUCGGAACGGUCAGAUGAUACUGCUUUGCUAGAGUGCAGAAGGGGCAAUCGGAAUUCUCGGUGUAGCGGUGAAAUGCGUAGAUAUCAGGAGGAACACCGGUGGUGUAGACGGCUUUCUGGACCGUAACUGACGCUGAGACACGAAAGCGUGGGUAGCAAACAGG
RNAcentral lists this ribosomal RNA (253 nucleotides) under uncultured bacterium. Its description in RNAcentral is "partial 16S ribosomal RNA". It matches the Rfam family "Bacterial small subunit ribosomal RNA", at positions 524 to 776 of the family's 1533-position model. The record is from RNAcentral.